UACAGAGGGUGCAAGCGUUAAUCGGAAUUACUGGGCGUAAAGCGAGCGUAGGUGGCUUGAUGAGUCAGAUGUGAAAUCCCCGGGCUUAACCUGGGAACUGCAUCUGAUACUGUCAGGCUAAAGUAGGUGAGAGGAAGGUAGAAUUCCAGGUGUAGCGGUGAAAUGCGUAGAGAUCUGGAUGCAUACCGAUAGCGAAGGCAGCCUUCUGGCAUCAUACUGACACUGAGGCUCGAAAGCGUGGGUAGCAAACAGG
RNAcentral lists this ribosomal RNA (253 nucleotides) under uncultured bacterium. RNAcentral's name for it is "partial 16S ribosomal RNA". It matches the Rfam family "Bacterial small subunit ribosomal RNA", at positions 524 to 776 of the family's 1533-position model. The record is from RNAcentral.